RNAcentral lists this ribosomal RNA (497 nucleotides) under uncultured bacterium. Its description in RNAcentral is "partial 16S ribosomal RNA". It matches the Rfam family "Bacterial small subunit ribosomal RNA", at positions 28 to 507 of the family's 1533-position model. The record is from RNAcentral.
GAUGAACGCUGGCGGCGUGCCUAAUACAUGCAAGUCGAGCGAACAGACGAGGAGCUUGCUCCUCUGACGUUAGCGGCGGACGGGUGAGUAACACGUGGAUAACCUACCUAUAAGACUGGGAUAACUUCGGGAAACCGGAGCUAAUACCGGAUAAUAUAUUGAACCGCAUGGUUCAAUAGUGAAAGACGGUUUUGCUGUCACUUAUAGAUGGAUCCGCGCCGCAUUAGCUAGUUGGUAAGGUAACGGCUUACCAAGGCAACGAUGCGUAGCCGACCUGAGAGGGGGAUCGGCCACACUGGAACUGAGAAACGGUCCAGACUCCUACGGGAGGCAGCAGUAGGGAAUCUUCCGCAAUGGGCGAAAGCUUGACGGAGCAACGCCGCGUGAGUGAUGAAGGUCUUCGGAUCGUAAAACUCUGUUAUUAGGGAAGAACAAAUGUGUAAGUAACUAUGCACGUCUUGACGGUACCUAAUCAGAAAGCCACGGCUAACUACGUG